AAGAAGAAGAAAAAAAGAUUGAGGCCAGUAUUUUCAGCUUGACCAAUAGCAGGGUACUGUUUUCCUCGAUCGACCAUGAGCUCAAAGGCUAAGUGAAACUUCUUGACAUGACUGCUUUUAUCACAUUCACAUCUUAGAAAAGUGAAAGUUUUGUUUGCACUAGAAGCCACUGGUGGAACGUAGAUUUACAUCCUCGAGGAAGAAAGAGGGCAACUUUGUGAGGGCUUGUUAGUUACUCUAUGUCUCUUUCUUUCCACAGUCUGUAGUCUUGACAGGCAGCUUUCACAGUUCCUGUAAAACUGAAAAGUUGCCUCCGAUGGUAACCCACUUGGCUGGAGUUUGCAAACAUCUUGGGGUGGUAUCAUUAGCAAAAUUGUUGCUCCUGUGUGAUGAUCUGAGACAGGAGACAACUGCUUAGUAUAGGGCUCACAGUAGGUCAUUUAAACCAGAGUUUUGUCUCUGGCGAAUUGUGAUAGAGGGCGGCCCAAUUUGCACCUUGAUUGCAAAAUUGUUCCAGAACAGGCCAGAGAGGCCAACUGCUUAAUCUGUGCUGGUGGCAGGGAUGCUCACUGUUUGCAGAGCCGUAAGCUUCUCUGUUGCUUGGCCAGUGAUUUCUCCACAGAUAAGGUAAGUCGAGGACACCUGCUCUGCGUGUCACAGAGGUGAUGUCUGCAGAAGGCUCCGCAUGUUAGGGGAAAGGACACCAAAGGAGUUGGUGUCAGCAAGGUAAUGGUAGGUCUUGGCGAUGUAUUUCCUUAGUGAACCUGCUGGACAGUCAGCAUUGCCCUGCGGGCUACGAGGAAGAGCUUGGUCCAUUUCCAUCGUGUUUCAGCACCCCCCCUCCCCCCGCCACCAGCAAGUCUCCGUCUCUUAUUCCCGGGAGUGUGUAGAUAUUUUAGCAAACUCCCAGAGAGUCUGUGAUGUCUCUUUAGGAAUUCUAGUAGUAAGUUGUGAACCUACUGUGUGCCCAAAACAAACUAGUUGAGAUACUUGUUUCCCAAGAAGUCCUCUGUGGACCCAGAUUAAGAAAACUGAGGGAUGUUUUUAGACUGUUUGACCUUGACCUCACCCCAGUCACGUUUACCCAGAGACUGUGGAGGACACCAACUCCACGUGCCCUUUCUAGGCUGAUUGGUAAACUAGUGAAGGAGGAGAGGAGAGGGCAAGGCUGUCGUUGAGGGCCCACGGUGGCAUGCUGGAGCCCAUGGCUAAAUUCGUAGGAAUUCUGGGAGCUGAUUUCAGAUACCACCAUUCUUACAAUUAAAUUAGGUUAAACUUCAUACUAAAUAAGUUACAUUAGAAAACAAAGGUAGUACAUAACUCAAAACGCAUCAUGUCCUCAGGAACUACAUCUGGCUGUCUGCUCUUGAGGUUUUGGUGCUGGCUGUGUCUCACGGUGGGUAUGCUGCCACUGCUGGUGCUGAAGCUGAGAAGUGUCGGUGUAAUAAACACAGUUUGAAAGAGGAUGGCUUCACAGUAAAUCACAUCAGUUAAAUUUAUUGAGAAGAGAGUCAGUGGGUUGGGAUGCAAGUCCAUUUGUCACACCCCAGCUAAACUGCCACCACCACCAGAUGUUGGCGCCAGAUAAAAGAGUUUGGCAAAAAUCAAUUCACCCAAUAAGAGUUUCCAAUAAAGGCUGUGGUGUAUUAUAUUUGUAGAUUGUAUGGUAUAUGCAUCUUUAUAUCAGCAAAUUCAUAAUGAACUUAUGUGUGAAUAUGCAGAUGUAUAUAGCUGCCCCCUAGAGCAGGUUAGAUAUUUACCAGGACACUACUGACUGCGGCAUGUGACAAAGGGGGAAGGGACUGGCAGUUUGGAUGACAGAGAAGAACCGGUGGGAUGGCAGUAAGGGAGUGAGAGAGCAGGAAGUUGUGUUAAGGUCCAGGGUGUGGUCACACCUGCCGUGAUUGACAGGCAGUGAGGAUGGGGCCCUAGAGUGAAAGAGGUCAGGGGAGGAGGAAGCCUGAAGAACAAAUGGGACGCGCACUUAGACUUCAGAGCCAACAAAAAGGACAGCAGGACCCAGGGUGGAGAGGAAGUGUCAAAUUCAAGUGCCCAACCCUUUAAUUUGGGGGAGGCGUCAGGUGGCAGGUAGACGUCAGUGACUAGGAAAGAUACGCAGGGCAGCAGUUGAACGCCCUAAGCAUCCACAGAGGUCUUUUCUGUGGGAAGGUUCGGGAGUUGGAAAGGAGAUAGAAGAGGGUGCUAGUUCUGCUUUGCGGGUCUUGUCGAGGUUUGUCAAAUGGAAAUAAUCACACCAACCCAACUGGAGUUACUGAGGCCAAUAAAGGGCUUAAGACCCUAUCACAGAGCCCGGCCUGAAACAGUGGUGACCAAGCAUUCUGGUUUGGCCAAGACAGGCUUGGGCUAAUUGUGCCCAGCACAGUUAUUAUGAGCCGCUCUUGUCACCCUGAAGUGUUGGGGUGGCUAAUUAUAUGCUCGUUCCAUCAGCAAAUGACUGUUUUCCAGUUCAUUACUUCCUAGAGCCCUCACUUCACAGUGGACAUACCAGGAGCCCCCAGGAAGAAGCAGUCUCUGGCUGGGGGUUUAUUCUCCAACAGGAAUGUUCUCCCACUGCCUGGAUAGAACAGGGUAGUCUAAGGCGGCCAGGGUCCUUCCCUCCACCCAUCCCAGGCACAGCCAACAGCCAUUCCCUUUUAUGCUUCCAGCCGUUCACAUUCUGGAAGACUUUGGAAUGCCUUUCUCCUCCUUUCCUCCUCAGCAAGGUACCACUCCAAGCCCCCUCCUGCCCUUCAAGCCUCCACCUGCCCCUCGGGUCAGCUGGCACUUGCACAGGUGGGCUAGGUGACUUUCAGGACCCCUUUCCCACGUGCAGGCAUGUGGCCAUGCUCAGGUCCGGUUCCAUAAUAAUAAUCCGAAAUAGGUCCUCCCAAGUGGCCCUAUAGCCACCGUUCUGAGAAAUUCCAAGCCAGGCCUGGGUGACUUGGGUCAUCACCAAGCUCCCAGUGAGCCGAAGGCAACUGGCCGGUGCCCUUGGCCACUGGGCAGAGCCAGAGGCAUUCCUCUUGGGUGAGCCAGUCUGAGCCUGCCAGCAUUCCAACAAAUUAAAGGCAGACCAAGGAGCCUAAGGUAUUUGGACAAGUCUGGAGCUGCUAUUCACUUUCUUCAACCAAGGAAAGUUCAGAGGCAGGAGAGGGGAUAUAAGCAGUGAUGAAAUGCCUCAAAGGGGUCGUUGGCUUUCCUUUGCCCAGUAUCCCUACAGACUACGGAAUCCCCGCCCCCCAACCACACAGCUCUUUUGUGGGCUCAGGCAGCUUUAAAAUCUCACCUUUAAAACUGCCAAUAACAAGACCGAGAUGAAAGUUUGGGAUGGAAAUGCUAUAAAAUUUGGUUAUGAUGAUUGAAUGUAAUAACAUUAAUUGUAUUAAAAAAACACAAGACUGAAAUGAGAUGCCAGUUAAUCUGCUUACCCUCCCCACUCCCACCGGAGGGUCGCAUGUCUAUAGAGACAGCUAGGUUGUGGCAAUCCUGGAACACUCCUGCCCUCUCUGACACAGCUGGUCACCCUGAGAUAGCUGUGGGUUUGUUCUCACGGGCCUUCCCCGAGAAAGACAUACACACUGUCACUUGUAAUUUUUGCCUGUGUCAUUGGGUUGUCGCCACGGCUCCUUUGCUGAACAGAAUUACAUAAAAUAGAUGGCUUUUGCGUUCUGGUUUUUAAAAUCAGAUUUUGAAAUUAAUUGGAAAUGUUCAAAUAUUUUUUUGAAAUCAAAUGUUAUUUUGAAAAGAAGGUACUUAUUCUCUUUGCCAUGGUAACACCUUUUUCCUACCUCACAUCACCACACCUACCAAAACAAUGACUUGAUAAAAAGAAGAUAUUUCCUGAAGUCAGGCAGUUCUGUUUAGAAAUACUUGUGAUAAAACUCACCCGGAAUAGAAAAUUUCAUUUAUUCUUAUGCAUGUAUCUUAUGAGAUCUCAACAGUUCUUAGAACCCUGUACUUUAAGGUUCCAGUUCCCUUUUAACUUUUUUUUUUUUCCUGUCUUAAUUGGUAUUCCAUUAAAAGCAUGAGUAAUUUUCAAAACCCUGGAUGGGGCUGGCUGGAAGCCUCUAACAGCUGUAUGGAAUCUCACAUAGCUAUCAUGUGCCCUUUUUUUUGGAAACAACAAUUGGCCUUGUCUUUUGUAAGAAAAUCACAUGAUUAAAAAAAUAGAUGGCUAGCAAGAAUUCUGUUGUCACUCGGUUACUGGCAGGAGCAGGAAUAGGGAGGGAGACGUAGAAAAAAUGCAUUCUUGGAUCCCUCAGCCACACCAAUCUGCAAACCCUCCUGGAGUAAAUACUGUCCUUUGUCAUUUCUAGGUAACUAAAAAAAGGCCUCGGAAUGUUUCCAGGGUUGGGCAUUCUGUUGUGUAAUACUUUGGGAGUCUGAGUUACCUUCAAAGAGUUGGCUCAAAACCCAGCCAUCGUCCCCCUGCUGGAUCUGAGUGUCAGAGACAUUGAUGUGAAUUGAAUGAAUGAGAGUUCAGUCUUUAUUAUGGACAACAAUAUUCCCUCUGGGGUUAGAAUUUCUUAAUGUUCUUGACAGCAAAAAGAAGUUUGCAUCAGCUUUGGAUCCCAAAGAUGCUAUUUUGACCUAAGCAUCUUGAGAUGAAGCCUGACUGUUUCAAAUGUCGCCACCUGGGAAGGGAGCCGCAGGCAUCCGCUAGAGGGUGAGGGGAAGGCCACCUGUCACCUUCUCAAUUCCGGAGGGUAACUGUCCCCACUGCAGAAUGUUUGAAAGGGGUAGGGCUUUGACCAGCACAAGGAAGGUAUUGGAAUUGAGUGUUUCUCUGAGAAGGGAGCCCAAGCUUUUUUCCAGGGCAGUUCUGAGACUUGUUGAAAAACUACAAGUGAGCAGGUUAUUGGGAAUGGUUUUUUUCUUUAAAAGGUUUUGUGAUCUUAGUAGCAUUUUGCAUGUGUAAUAUUUUCUGUUAAAGGAUACCUGGCAUGUUCCAAAGUUGUUUCCUCAGCCCCUCUUUGAGUUAAGAUGAGCAGAGCAAACUCACCAUGGCCCACAGACUAGGGAAGAAGCCCUCUGGACGAGGGGGUUUAGUUACUAGAAACCCCGAGGAAACUUGCUUGUGAGGUACAAAACAGUGUUUCUCAAGGUGUAAGCUACCAACUGUGGGCAACAGAAUAAUAGGGGAAGAUUUGCAAAAAUGCACAUUCCUGGGCUCCUCUCUAGACCUGUAGGUUCAGAAUCUGGGAUGGGGAGUGCAAUGGCUGAGAAAUCCACAUUUUAUCUAUUCCAGGUGAUUUUGGGAAUACUGAGAAUGGAGAACCACUACCAGUCUGUGGAGAUGCAGAAAAGUUUAUUGCCUUCCAUCCAUCCAUCCAUCCAUUCAUGCAUCAUCCAACCAUCCAACCAUCCAUUUAGCUAUUAGGGAUUUCCUGAGCACCACCUGUAUACUCAGCCUUCUGCAGAGCUGGGAUGCCCUGCGUGGUGCACAGGACAAGCCCAUUAUCUGUCCUUAUGAGGCUUUGGUCUCCUACCCUCUUCAGACAUGUGGUGAGGUUGACCAGAAAGAUGUCAUAAAGUAUUCUUUAGAAAUAGCCUACUUGGAUCAGAUAAAUAUUGGGCUGAUAACUGGCCCUGAAACCCUGAAAUUUCUGUCAUGCGUCAAAGGCUUUUACCUGCCUACCCUGCUGGACAUGCCAAGGAAACUAGUUGACCAGACUGGCCUGUCCUCUGGGCGCUAACAAAUCCAGGUCUGGCGGGGCCUUUUGCCAACACCAGGAUCCAUGCCUGAGUUGCCCUGUGGAGAAGCAUUAAAGCAGCCUCAGCCAACAGGCAGACCUGGAAACACAGCCGAUUUGAUCCCUAGCGACCAAAUGGCGCAGCUAAGUCCAUCCAGGUCUGAGGAAGGUAACCUAGUCUGUGGAGGGUCUGUUUUCCCUUGGAAAUGAAACUUUUUCUGAAAAUCUGCUUUUUUUUUAAUAGCUGCAGGACAGAAACAGCUCCUCUUGCAAGAUCUCUGAGGGAGCGUCCGCUGGACCCGGGUGUCCCAGCUGAGAUGAGUUUACCAUACCGAUCGCUUUGGUCCGGGCUGGGCAGACACCCCCUGCCCCCGCCCCAACCACCUCCUCGGGGCCACGCCUGCUGCAGCUCCAGGGCGGAGCAGGUCAGACACCCCAGGAUGAUAGCGCUUUGACACCUCAUUUGGGUGGUGUCCUCAGGCUGACAAGGAAAUGUUUUGGAUCACUGAAAGUCACAGUGGCUGCCUGGAUUUUUUUCUGUUUUGUUUAUAAAGUGUCCCCCAAAAUGGGACAUAAAUCUCUCUUG
This 6279-nucleotide long non-coding RNA is filed under the name Sus scrofa (pig). RNAcentral's name for it is "lncRNA (ENSSSCG00000057195.1)". The record is from RNAcentral. Lineage: Eukaryota; Metazoa; Chordata; Mammalia; Artiodactyla; Suidae.